UUGUCCGGAAUUAUUGGGCGUAAAGCGCGCGCAUGCGGAUCAUGCAAUCUGUCUUAGAUCUUCCGGGCUUAGCCCCGUGAGGCGAUGGAAACUGCUGAUCUAAAAUAUCAGAGAAGAUAGUGGAGUUCCUAGUGUAUCGGUGAAGUGCUUAAAUAUUACGAAUAACACCAGUGGCUAACGCGACUUUCUGGACCACUACUGACGCUGAGGCGCGAAAGCCAGGGGAGCGAACGGGAUUAGAUACCCCGGUAGUCCUGACCGAAAGCAAUGGGUAAUAGGUGUAGGAGGUAUCGACCCUUUGUGUGCCGGAGUUAACGCAAUACGUACCCCGCGUGGAGAGUACGACCGCAAGGUUGAAUCUCAAAGGAAUAGACGGGGGCCCGCACAAGCGGUGGAGUAUGUGGUAAUAAUUAGACGCAACGAAGAAGCACCUUCACUGGUCUAGAUCACUGAGCGACACAAAUAGAGAUAGUUCCUCUUCUUCGGAAGCCCAGAAAACACGUGGUGCACGGUUGUGUGUCAGGUUGUGUGUGUGAGAAGUGUGGGGUAAGUUCCGCAACGAACGCCACCCCUAUCUUAUGUUGCCAGCCAGUAAAGGGGGCAAUUCAUGAGAGACUCCGGCAGCCAAUGCGGAGGAAGGGGGGGAGGAGGUCAAUUCUUCAUCCCCCUUAUGACUUGGGUUCCCCACGUAUUCCAAUGGGAGUUAAUAGGCGGAAGAGAGAUCGAGAGAGGGAGCAUACCCGAGAAACACUCUCUCAGUUCGGAUCGUAGGGCGCAUCUCGCGCACGAGAAGUGGGAAUCUAUAGUAAUCGCAGGUCCGCAUAGUGCGGAGAAUACGUUCCCGCGCCUUGCACACACCCCCUGUCACCCCGAGAAAGUCGGACGUGCCCAAAGCCGGAGGGGUACCCUUCGGGAGCCAGCCGUCUAAGGUAAAGCAGAUGAUUGGGGUGA
Molecule: ribosomal RNA, 951 nt
Filed under: uncultured organism
Description: SSU rRNA
Rfam family: Bacterial small subunit ribosomal RNA
Source: RNAcentral